CGUACAUGCUUCCUGCUGUGGCUGUCUCGGAACGCCUGUCUGCUGCUUCAUGAUUUUCUGCCGUCUCUUGGCAAAAAUGGCAAAUAAUGACGCUGUUCUGAAGAGACUAGAGCAGAAGGGUGCAGAGGCAGAUCAAAUCAUUGAAUAUCUCAAGCAGCAGGUUGCUCUACUUAAGGAGAAAGCAAUUUUGCAGGCAACUUUGAGGGAAGAGAAGAAACUUCGAGUUGAAAAUGCUAAACUAAAGAAAGAAAUUGAAGAACUGAAACAAGAGCUAAUUCAAACAGAAAUUCAAAAUGGAGUGAAGCAAAUACCAUUUCCAUCUGGUACUCCCCUGGAAGCUAAUUCUGUGGUUUCUGAAAAUGUGAUACAGUCUACACCAGUAGCAACCGUAUCUUCUGGUACCAAAGAACAGAUAAGAGGAGGAACAGGAGAUGAAAAGAAAGCCAAAGAGAAAAUUGAAAAGAAAGAGAAGAAGGAGAAAAAACAGCAAUCAGUAGCUGGAAGUGUCGACUCUAAUCCAAUAGAUGUUUCCCGUCUGGAUCUUCGAAUUGGUUGCAUCACAACUGCCAAAAAACACCCUGAUGCAGAUUCUUUGUAUGUAGAAGAAGUAAAUGUUGGAGAAAUAGCCCCAAGAACAGUUGUCAGUGGCCUGGUAAAUCAUGUUCCUCUUGAACAGAUGCAAAAUCAGAUGGUGGUUUUACUUUGUAAUCUGAAACCUGCAAAGAUGGGGGGAUUAUUGUCUCUAGCAAUGGUCAUGUGUGCUAGUUCACCAGAGAAAGUUGAAAUCUUGGCACCUCCAAAUGGGUCUGUUCCUGGAGACAGAAUUACUUUUGCAGCUUUCCCAGGAAUGCCCGACAAGGGGCUGAACCCUAAGAAGAAGAUUUGGGAGCAGAUUCAGCCUGAUCUUCACACUAAUGAUGAGUGUGUGGCUACACACAAAGGAGUUCCCUUUGAGGUGAAAGGGAAGGGAGUAUGUAGGGCUCAAACCAUGAGCAACAGUGGUAUCAAAUAAAAUGCCUCCACUACCAAAGGACAUUGGAGAAAACCUUAAUAGUAAUAAAGGGAAAUAUAUUUGUCACUUGUA
Molecule: RNA transcript, 1084 nt
Organism: Sapajus apella (tufted capuchin)
Lineage: Eukaryota; Metazoa; Chordata; Mammalia; Primates; Cebidae
Gene name: aminoacyl tRNA synthase complex-interacting multifunctional protein 1 pseudogene
Exons: 1
Source: RefSeq, a predicted model, not a curated record